AACGUAGGUGGCAAGCGUUGUCCGGAAUUACUGGGUGUAAAGGGAGCGCAGGCGGACUGACAAGUUGGACGUGAAAUCUAUGGGCUCAACCCAUAACGUGCGUUCAAAACUGUUGGUCUUGAGUGAUGUAGAGGUAGGCGGAAUUCCCGGUGUAGCGGUGGAAUGCGUAGAUAUCGGGAGGAACACCAGUGGCGAAGGCGGCCUACUGGGCAUUAACUGACGCUGAGGCU
This 230-nucleotide ribosomal RNA is filed under the name uncultured microorganism. Its description in RNAcentral is "partial 16S ribosomal RNA". It matches the Rfam family "Bacterial small subunit ribosomal RNA", at positions 524 to 753 of the family's 1533-position model. The record is from RNAcentral.